RNAcentral lists this long non-coding RNA (1809 nucleotides) under Struthio camelus australis. Its description in RNAcentral is "lncRNA (ENSSCUG00000012375.1)". The record is from RNAcentral. Lineage: Eukaryota; Metazoa; Chordata; Aves; Struthioniformes; Struthionidae.
CACUGGGGGGCAGCACGGCCAGUGAGGGUGCUGGGAGUCCCUCUGCACCACCGGGUAGGCUCCGUCCACGGGGCCAUGGGUGGCAUGCUCCAUCACCUUCAGCUACCUCGAGCUCUGCAGACCCUGGGGAUUACCCCAAGGCACAGGCGGCAGCUCUGGCCCCAUGUGGGGCAGUCUGCAGGGUGCCUGCACAGCCCUGGCAGAGCAGGCAUGUGGCACCUGUCCCAGGGGCUCUGCUGUGCAGCCAACACCUUGUUCUUCCUCUUGCAGAAAAGCUGAUGAGGACCAUGGAAGCAGGUACUGGGAGUGACCCUGGGUGCUGGUGCCUCUGCUCCUCCUUGGGGCAAGAUGCAACCACCCCCCUGCCUAUGCCAGCUCCCUGGGAUGGCGAUGGGACAAUGCCCUGCUCCCGUCCCCAGACAAGCACCUUGGUGCCCCACGGGCUGCUCCACCCGGCAAGCAUCCCUGGAGCGGGGCCAUGCCCCUGACACCUCCUUCUCUUCCCUUCCAGAAAACUAUGACCUUCGACUCCAGAAAGGUGAGGUCUGCAGAGGAGGGAAAAGGGAGCUGCCAAAAAAGCGGGCUGUGGGGUCCCGCUAAACUCCCAGCAAGGCUGAGCACCUCCUGCAGGUGCCCAGGAGCUGGGGCUGAGCGGGGAUCAGCCCCCCGGAGAGGGCACUCACACACGACACGGCACACAGCCCCAGGCGCUUUUCCACGUUGUCCACUCUGCCCCCACCGUCUGCCCCACGGCCCAAAGCCGAACCCCUGUCGCUUGCCGAGGGGGGCGGCGAGGCAGGGGCGCAAAGCUGCUGUCGCAACACCCUUGUGCAAGAUGAGCAGAAUUCGCUCCGGAUGGCAAGCGGGCUCCACAGCUGUCCGGAGAGUAAAGCAGUAGGCUGCGGUGGCUCAGGGCUGCAGCCGGAGGGGAUGCCAGCGCGGCCAGGCUGGGUCCAGGCAGCUCGGAGCGAGGCACAGCAUCCGCACAAGUGCCGUGCUGGAGCGAGGGUGGUGGAGGAACCCUGGAGCAGCCCCGGCUGCAGGGCGCAGGGUGCAUGGGGGUCUGCCGGCUCCGGGGCCCCUCUGAGCUGUUGGCACAGCUUGAGACGGGCCGGGAGCAGGGGCAGCCCAGGUGGGGAGGUGCCCAGAGAGGUCCAAGGGGCAGCGGGUGGCCUCCCUGGGGCGCGGGAGGGCUGCAGGAAGCACAGCCAAGGGGCCUCCCAACAGCGUGCCUCGGGGAGGGAGGGGUGGGCAGUGCGCGCAGGGCUCGCCGGAGGGAUUGCACAUGCUAAAGACCCUCUUUUGGUUGCAGAGAGAGCCAUGAAAGAGCUGGCUUUCCGAAGGGCACGGAGCUACCAGGGUGAGCGCUGGGGCUGGCGGGAGCUGUGGGGACUGCCACCCACCGGGAGGGGGACGGGUGGAGGGUGCCCUGUGGUGCCGAGCCUGGAUCACCCCGGCAGCUUGGGUCCAUCUCCCGGCGCUUGGAGCCGCGCAGGGAUGCUUGGCUGGGAGAGGCAUGGCAUGGCCCAGCGGGGGGCAGGAGGCGUCGGGUCUCUGCCCACCCUCCAUCGCCCAGGGCACGUGGGCAGGAGGGGACGGGGGGCUGGCGGACCCCUCCACAGCCCACGGCUCAUGGGGCCAUACCCCUCUCUCCACAGUGACCAUCACCCUGGACUCAAGCCACCAGCACCCCGAACUUGUCGUGUCGGAGAACGACCGAUGCGUCCGGUGCCGGCCCUCCUCGCAGGGGCCAGCCCCCCGCAUCGCUGUGGGGCACCCGGGCUUUGCAUCCCAACGGGCUUACUGGGA